RNAcentral lists this ribosomal RNA (855 nucleotides) under Triticum aestivum (bread wheat). RNAcentral's name for it is "partial small subunit ribosomal RNA". The record is from RNAcentral. Lineage: Eukaryota; Viridiplantae; Streptophyta; Magnoliopsida; Poales; Poaceae.
AUGGAGGAGGCCGCACCCGCACUCCGGCCUCUCGGGCUGGUCGGUAUCUUCCACGAGGCCCUCCGCGUCGCCCGCUCCCACCCCCCAGGCUCUGCCUUGUUGGCCGGCCAGGUGCUCGUGCUCACCAUGUCCUUCCUCGCCCACAUUGCCAUCUGCCCCGCCCUCUUCCCCCACGCCCUCGCCUCCUCCAACGCCGGCGCCGGCCUCCUCCGUCUCGCCGCGAACUGGGCACCCUUCUUCCUCGUAGAGGCGGCCUUCCACCUCGCCAUCGCCGUCCAGUCGUUCGGCGCCACCGCCUUCGUCGUCUUCUCCGUCCGCCCGCGCUACGGCGUGAGGGACGAUCGCGCCUGGCGCCUCGUGGUCACCAGCUUCGACGCCUUCCUCCUCCUCCUCGGCUGCACCGCCCUCUUCGGCACCGCCGCCUGGUGCGGCGUGCAACUGGCGCUGGUGGCACUGCUGCUGCUGGUCGGUGGCGUGUACUUCGCCGGGGCUGGGCACAUCGGCUCGGUGUGGCGCGUCGGCUCUGUGAUGAUGGUGCUGGAGGACGCCUGGGGCUUCCGCGCCCUGUGCAUGAGCGACGAGCUCCUGCUCGACGCCCGCAUGUUCUGGGCCCCGUCCGCCGUCGCCGUGUUCACGCUCACGCUCGUCGGCUGCAUCCUGGCCGUGCAACUGGCCUUCAGCGCGCUGGUGGUCCACGAUGUGAUGGGCCUCGGCGUCUGGCUCCGAGUGGCCGCGGGGGUGGUGAUGACGGUGGCGCUGUGGGCGGCGCUGAUGGCUGGGCUGGUGUUCUUCGUGUGCAACAGCCACCACCCCGAGAGCUUCGUCAACGUCGCCAACGUCGGCCGCCGGCUUUAG